AAUAAGAAUUUAAUUUUGGUUCUGAUUGAACGUUUUUCAGUGGUUUUAAGACAUGCAAAUCUUUUGUUUAUAAAGGUAAAUACAAUUAUUUAUUUUAAUAAAAUAACAUUUAUUACAUAAUAGUUUAUUACUAAUAAAAAAUAAGGUGUAAAGGUGAGUAAUAUGUGAUUAGAUACCUUAUAGUCUCCUUAGUUGGGAGAUAAUUUAUUUCUUUAAUAUUAAAAAUUUAAGAUACUUUAAUUUUAUAUAAUUUAAUUUAUUAUAUAAUUUUAUUAGGAUAAGUAAGGAUAAAUAAGCUAUUUAUUCAAUAAAGGAAGUUUUCUGCUAUAAGAUUUGAUCCAUUCUGUUUAAAGGUAGUUGGUAGAGUAAAAGCCUACCAAGCCAACGAUCAGAAGCCAAGUUUGAUAGAUCAAAUGGCCACAUUGGGAGUGAAAUGCCCCUAGUAGUUUAUACUACCAGCAGUCAAGAAUAUUAGUCAAUGCUCGCAAGAGUGAACUAGCUAACUGAAAUCGUAUUUUUCGUGUAUGCGGUGAAAUGCGAUAAUGUAAAGGAAAAAAUAUGAUAUUACUUUACUAAAAGUGUUGUCCAAAUCUGGUGCCAGAAGACUCGGUAACGCCAGAAACGCGAACGUUAGUCACAUUAACCAGGCGUAAAGGGUUCGUAGGCAGUUUAAAAUUUAAAAUUUUAUAUAGCUAUUUAAAUAUAUAUUUAUAUAUGUUUAUUUUAAAAUUUUAAUUAAUUUAAGAUAGAAUCAAAUUGAGGAUAAGCCGAAUAAUGCUUAGAGUAGGGAUUAAAUCCUUAGAUACUAGGUGGAAUACUAAUGGUGAAAGCUUUUUAUCUAAUAAUGAUCGACGCUGAGGAACGAAGGUGAGAAUAGAAAAUAGGAUUAGAGACCCAGAUAUCUCUCACUGUCAACGAUGAAUGGUGGAAAGUUAGUUUUAAUAACUAGUACCGAUGUUAACGCGAUAACCAUUCCGCCUUGAGAGUACGGUCGCAAGACUGAAACCAAAAAAAUUAGUCGGUCUCGAAGCAAACGAAGUGAAGCAUGUUAUUUAAUACGAGAGUACGCGUAAAAUCUUACCAGUUCUUGCAUAUCCAUAUUUAGUUUAAAUUUAUAUUUAAAGGAUUAAAUAGCCUCCCUCCCUUUCCUUAUUACUAAGUAGUAAUUACAUGGGUAGGUGCUGGAAAUCUAUAUCUUUAAGUGUGAUAUUUAUAUUAAAUAUGUGUAGUUAUUUAUUUUUUUAAUUUAAUAACUCGUUUACAGGUGUUGCAUGGCUGUCGUCAGUCCGUGUUUUGAGAAGUAAGGUUAACUCCACUAACGGACGAAAUCCCUGUUGUAUAUUUAUACUUUAUAACUAAUGAUUUUUAAAUAUUUUCAUUUGGGGCUAAGACAAGUCGUUAUGGCCCUCAUGAACUGGGCUAUUGACGUGCCACAAGAACUUUUACAAAGUGAUGCAAAAACCGGACCUUGUAUUGUUUUAUUAGAUUGCUCUCCUCCUAUAUGUAGGGAGCAUUUAUUUUACUUUUAUUAAAAGAAGUAAAAGCUAAUAAAAUAGAGCUUAAUUUGUCAGCCUUAAUUUUGAACCGAAAGGUAGGAAAAGGUCAACGCUAAUUAAAGCUCCCUUUUUUUAAUAGAAAAGGAUUAUUUAUCUGUAAUUUAUAUUUAGAUAAUUAAGGUCAAAAGGAAUAGCUAAUCAUUAAAGAAAGUUACUAUUAUUAAACUUUUAUAAGACGGAUUGUCUCCUGAAAUUCGGAGACAUGAAGAAGGAAUUUCGAGUAAUCGUUGAUCACUAGCGCAACGGUGAAGAUUGCAUUCGUGAUGAACUAACUGUCUGUCACUGGGAAGGAAUUCGGAUAGGGGGAAAAAGCCAAAUAUUUAUAAUUUUUCAAAGGAGUAUUAAUUAAUAAUAUAAUUAAUUUUAUAUUAAUUUAGUGCAGUUUUAAUUAUAGAUUUAUCUUAUAGAGAUUAUAGGGGAUAAUCUAUUGAUUUAAUUAAUUUAAAUCUUUUAUCCCACCCUCCAUCCUUUAACGGAGGAGGUGGUAACAAAAUAAACAUCUUUGUUAAACUAAUUAUUAUCUUUUAACCCAUUUGAGUAACAUCUCAAAAGUCAUAGCAAGGUAGCUGUACUGGAAGGUGCAGCUGGAAAAUAAAAACAAAUUAAACCC
This 2166-nucleotide ribosomal RNA is filed under the name Lentinula edodes (shiitake mushroom). RNAcentral's name for it is "small subunit ribosomal RNA". The stretch from base 5 to 1521 matches the Rfam family "Bacterial small subunit ribosomal RNA". The record is from RNAcentral. Lineage: Eukaryota; Fungi; Basidiomycota; Agaricomycetes; Agaricales; Omphalotaceae.